GCUAUUAUAAUACGGAUUCAUAUCAAAAUUUAUCACGCCGCCGCGAAGCGCGGCUUUUUUAACUAGUUUUUAUUAAACUGGCGUAUUAGCCUUCUGUCUUCACGUUGCUGACCUGCUCGCAUUAAAGCGUUUCCCUCUUCGGCUGGGCUGGGCCUUAAGCCUAUUUAGCAGCUAAACCUGCGUCCAUAGUUUUCACUAGUUUCUCACAUUACUGCUUCCGCCUAAUAUUCUAGGCGCUACUAUGUAGUUGCUCUAAGCCCAUUCCAUUUGCAGCCCAUUCCACUUGCUCUGAUCCAGUCCAGGCCCAAGGAGAUUAACCAUUUGGAGGCCCAUCAAAUCCAAGCCGCUUUAUCAAAGCCGCUUCAUCAAUUUCUUCAUAUGCAAUGCUAGCAGUGGUCCAACUUCAUGGACUCAUUUGUACAGCCCAUUUAAGCCGAGUGACAUGGAAACGAAAAAAUUGCAUAGUUCCAAGGAAUCGAACCCAGCUACUACACAGCAAGAAAGAGCUUUUUGAGUCUACUGUCAACCACUACGCCAAGCCU
This 542-nucleotide long non-coding RNA is filed under the name Daucus carota (carrot). Its description in RNAcentral is "long non-coding RNA (DCAR_LNC000222)". Lineage: Eukaryota; Viridiplantae; Streptophyta; Magnoliopsida; Apiales; Apiaceae. The record is from RNAcentral.